AGUAGAUAGAUAGUGACAUGGCUCUGAUGGGGGUGUAGUCUGGUUGGGGACACCCAGGGAAGGUGUGGGAAGAACCAGUCAGGAGGACUGGAGGCCGGGAGGCCCACGUGGAUGAAGAGAAGAAAGAGGAAAGUGUCCGGUCAGGAAAGAGGUUAAAGAAGACCCGCAAGUAUGACAUCAUCACCACUCCAGCUGAGCGGGUAGAAAUGGCCCCUCUGAAUGAAGAGGACGAUGAGGACGAGGAUUCCACAGUAUUUGACAUCAAAUACAGGUAAAACCUGUUUCCCAGGGGGUUGGCAUACCGUGGAAAGUUGUUCAGCUGCAGCCUGGGCUGUGAAGGAUCUGGAGCAGUCUCUCGUCCACGGUGUUCAAACCAAAACAAACGACAUUCACGAAACUCUGGCUCCGUCAUGUGUGUCCAGCGUCCAUUCAGAGUGUCACCAUCAAGCUUGUUUCCAAAUCGCCACACGGGAGGAGUUGCCUCUGCUACUUUCUGGGUGCCCUUUUAAAAUGUCACCCCUUCUCCUGCCUCCCUUUGGGUUUUUUUUUUUUGCCUUGCUAAAGCAAAGGGUAGAAACAUGUUGAAAAAUAUUUUUAAAGCAACUGUUGACAAUAGUGGAACUAUAAUUAGGAGGAUCAAGAAUCUAAGAACAGCCUGAAGAAUCUUCAGCUGUAAACUUAGAAUUCCUGCCACUCUGCUCUCCAGAAUCUCUACGCUAGACAUCAGGCCCUUUCCGCAAUCUUUUUUGGCUUGGUGGGGGCUCAGGCCUUAUUUUGGUGAGGGCUAUAUGAAAUUUCAGGUGGGGAAUGCUUAGACUGGUUGGCCCCUACUGGAAGUGAACCAGUAUUGGCUCCUGUCCCCACCACCGCACACCUUUAUUAAAGGGGAUCAGCAGAAAUAGGCCUGGCUAGUUCACAAAGAAUUUUGAAUUCCAAUUAUCAGGGAAAACAAAGUAUGUGUGUUUGUGUAUGGACAUGUGUGUGAAUAUAUAUAAAAUAAUUUCUCCUCUCAAGGGAACGGAAAGCACUGGGCAGCUUUGGGUUGGUAACUGUUUUUUUUUUUUUUUUUUAAUGCUUUUGUGUGUGUGUUGUGUGUUUGUUACAAUUCUACAUUGUUUGUCUUAGAAAUAUAAUUAAAAAUCACUGUGGUAAUUUAAAUCAAUGGUGAUUUGGCUGGGUCAAGUGAAGGACAUGAUUAGGGACUCUACUGGCCCUGAAGUCGGUCUAGACUGGGAACCUCCUGGACCCAGGAGUUUACUCAUAAGGACCCCCUCCCUUAAGCGUGGGUAGGGUCUGAGGCAGGCCACUUCCCUGGGAGCCUGUGAGGUAACUUUAUUCAGAGAUACCCUGUGGAACAGGACCUCGGGAGACCUCUCAGAUUGACAGAGGCCUCCCAUUUUGCUCUCCUCCCAUAUUGGUGCAGCCAGUGCGUUUCUAUUUCGAGCCUACUAGCAGUGCCUUUGGGACCCUGGUGUUCCAUUCUGUCUCAAAAGGUGUUUUUAAUUUUUUACCCUUCUCUUCCUUUCUGGCACUGCCCCAGGGUUGGUUAGGUUUGCCUGUCUAUGGUCCUGUUCCGUUGGCCGGGAUGAAAACUCCCACCUUCCCCUCCUCACCCCCAUUUUAGGCUCUUCGGUUUCCUGAGAAGGGCUCUCUUGGUGGGAAGAGAUGGGCAGGGGCUCCCGUGGCCCUGAGGCCCACCUGGGUGUGGGUGCUGUGUGACCCUAGCUGUUAGCAGGCGUGCUGGUGGCACAAAGGGAGCCCUGGAAGCCCAGGCCAAGUAUAGCCCUGUGGCUGGUGCUGCUGGGCUGUCCGCUGCUGUGGCGCAGCCCACACGUGGUGCCUGCUGGGCCCGGCCCUGUCGUUUCACCUCCUUUGUUGACUCUUCUCCCCUCGGCUCUGUUUGUCAGAGGGGUGGGGCUGGAAGCAGAACAGCUGUGGCUGCGCUCUCCCCCACUCCAUGGUGGUGUGCUCACGACCAGAGCAGUGCCUCGCAGCUGUGCGCCUUCUCAGCCUUUGAACUGGAAAUGCCCAACUCUCAUCUGCAGAGUCUUAUGACUACAGCUCAAUCGUCCAGAAAAGCUGGAUUCUUCCGCCUUAUGUCUAAACCCCGCGCCCUUGUGCUCGCCACCGGUCCCGGCUGGAGGGGACACCAGCAAUGACUUUCUAAAUCCUUGGUGGAACUUCAAGCACUACAGGCGCUUAAAAUAAAGACCUUUUAGACAUGAA
Non-coding RNA from Ictidomys tridecemlineatus (thirteen-lined ground squirrel), 2226 nucleotides. The record is from RefSeq and is a predicted model, not a curated record. NCBI's taxonomy places the organism in Eukaryota, Metazoa, Chordata, Mammalia, Rodentia, Sciuridae.